Molecule: long non-coding RNA, 1216 nt
Filed under: Solanum tuberosum (potato)
Lineage: Eukaryota; Viridiplantae; Streptophyta; Magnoliopsida; Solanales; Solanaceae
Description: long non-coding RNA (STUB_LNC009609)
Source: RNAcentral
UAAAAAUCUAAUUCCAGCUUUUCAAUUUCUAAAGUGAUAUUUUGAUUAAUUUAUCUCCGAUUUCAAAUCAUAUCAAUAUGGGUAUCAUUGGAGUCUUUUUGAUGAACUCUUUCCACUCUUGAUAGCUAAGGAUCGUUUCGGUGAUUGUGUGGUUGAUGAAGUUUUCCGAUAGGAUUGUUCGAGUGAUGUUUCAAUAUUGAGGUAGGUUUGGCUAUCCCUAUAUUACAUUGAGAUGAAUAAUUAACCUUUCUUAGGAAGUCAACUGCGAAAUAAGUAGUAGCAUAAGUCUUAGAAGUUGAUAUAUGUUGACCUCCUUGUUUAGUUCAUAUGAUGUCUAAUUGGGAUGCUUAGCAUGUGUGGAGGCUUGUGUGAUAUUUGUAAUUGUUGCGGAAAUUUUGUGAUAUUCGAGUAAUUGCCUGAGUGAAGGGUUGUGUGACCUAUCUUUAUAUUUGACAUUGAGAUGCCUGAGUUAGGGGCUUGAGUCAACUUUUGAACAUCUUAAAAUGAAAGAAAUAAUGCUUUCUAAGUGAUAAAAGUUGAAUUCAAAUUAUUUCCUCCACUAUCCCUAUCAUUUGAGAAUAUGUUUCAUAGCUUGUUGAGUUUGAGAACUUGAUACUAUUUGAAAACUCUUGAUGAAAUGAUUAUGCCUUGUGUUAUAUAUGUUGUGAUGCAGUCAUCAUCAUGCAACAUAUCAUUGUUCAUGGAAAUACAAGAAAGUGGAGGAAUACUAUCUUUUUGAAAAAGAAAAUUGGACACCUUACUUAUAUCAUUAACCACGAGCUAGGUGGCAAGAUGAUGAGAUAUUGAGAUUAUGAGAUCGAUGUAUGGACUGCAAGUUCCCAUGGGUCCUUGUUUGGAAGCUAAUUGCUCGGCAAAUUGUAUAUGACAUGUUGUGCAACGACCUUCGUAUCACCACAUUAUUUCAUCAUCUUAUUACAUCACAUUGACCAACUUUAUUGUGUUGUGUAAUUUGUUUAUGUGUCGAUUUAAAUGAUACAUGUACUCAUGUGCCUAUACAUUAUUCGUGUCGUUCUAUAUAAAUUGGCGACAUCGAUGUCGGAAUAAGACUUUUCUGCCUGUAGGUGGAAGCAUUUCAUAGUUUAUUUCUUAAGUUUGUUUAGUUGCUUAUAUUUAGUCAGUCUAACUUACUGAGUACGUGUGGAUUGUACUCACCCCCUACUUUUGUCAACCUUUUGAUGCAGUAGGUAGUCAGGGU